CCUACGGGGGGCAGCAGUCGAGAAUCAUUCACAAUGGGGGAAACCCUGAUGGGGCGACGCCGCGUGGGGGAAGGAAGGUCUGCGGAUUGUAAACCCCUGUCAUGUGGGAGCAAAUUAAAAAGAUAGUACCACAAGAGGAAGAGACGGCUAACUCGGUGCCAGCAGCCGCGGUAAUCCAGAGGGCGCAAGCGUUGUCCGGAAUCACUGGGCGUAAAGCGUGCGUAGGCUGUUGCGUAAGUCGUGUGUGAAAGGCGCGGGCUCAACCCGCGGACGGCACAUGAUACUGCGAGACUAGAGUAAUGGAGGGGGAACCGGAAUUCUCGGUGUAGCCGUGCACUGCGUAGAUAUCGCGAGGAACACUCGUGGCGAAGGCGGUUUCCUGGACAUUAACUGCCGCUGAGGCACGAAGGCCCGGGGAGCGAACCGGAUUAGAUACCCCUGUAGUC
Molecule: ribosomal RNA, 446 nt
Filed under: uncultured bacterium
Lineage: Bacteria
Description: partial 16S ribosomal RNA
Rfam family: Bacterial small subunit ribosomal RNA
Source: RNAcentral